AUUGAACGCUGGCGGCAUGCUUUACACAUGCAAGUCGGACGGCAGCGGGGUAGUGCUUGCACUACUGCCGGCGAGUGGCGAACGGGUGAGUAAUAUAUUGGAACGUACCGAGUAAUGGGGGAUAACCAAUCGAAAGAUUGGCUAAUACCGCAUACGCUCUGAGGAGGAAAGCAGGGGACCUUCGGGCCUUGCGUUAUUCGAGCGGCCAAUAUCUGAUUAGCUAGUUGGUGGGGUAAGGGCCUACCAAGGCGACGAUCAGUAGCGGGUCUGAGAGGAUGAUCCGCCACACUGGGACUGAGACACGGCCCAGACUCCUACGGGAGGCAGCAGUGGGGAAUUUUGGACAAUGGGCGCAAGCCUGAUCCAGCCAUGCCGCGUGUCUGAAGAAGGCCCUCGGGUUGUAAAGGACUUUUGUUAGGGAAGAAAAAGGAGCGGUUAAUACCCGUUUCUGCUGACGGUACCUAAAGAAUAAGCACCGGCUAACUACGUG
Molecule: ribosomal RNA, 490 nt
Filed under: uncultured bacterium
Lineage: Bacteria
Description: partial 16S ribosomal RNA
Rfam family: Bacterial small subunit ribosomal RNA
Source: RNAcentral